This is a long non-coding RNA of Brassica rapa (field mustard), 2389 nucleotides long. RefSeq lists it as uncharacterized. NCBI's taxonomy places the organism in Eukaryota, Viridiplantae, Streptophyta, Magnoliopsida, Brassicales, Brassicaceae. The record is from RefSeq and is a predicted model, not a curated record.
GCUUUAUACUAAAUUUUAAUAGUAUUAUUUUUAAAGACUACUGGUUGUAUUUUUUUGUCUCUGUUAGAUUUAGCUACUGCUAAAUAAGAUUUUGUUUGAUGUGAGGCAGGGGCAUGUGGAUGAGGUCAAGCAGAGGUGUAAGGCGAAAAAAAGAAGAAAAAAGAAUCUUUAAAAGAUUGAGGAGCAGUGUUACGUGAUGCUCUCUGGAAUUAAAGUUGAAUGAUAGUAUAUGGAAAAAAAAAAUAUUUUCUUUGUGAAACAGAGAAAUGAAAGAGGUCGGCAGGUACGGUUGGUGAAGGAACAUUUAUUCUUCUCAUUCAAGCGGCUCUCGUUUUUUCCUCCUUAUAUUAUUAUUGAGGAAAAAAGUUUCUCAGCUACACGAUGUUUACUAUAAUAUGGUAAAAACCAUACAGAGUAUGAAAAUGUGUCUAUAACUAUACGAAAUAUAUGAUAAUACAUACCACAUGUAUGAAGUAAAUAAAAAUAUGGUGCCAACAUCCCAAUUGGUUUUAAUUGAUUUUAAUGAAACAUUUUGGGGUCAAUUCGUAAUUAAGAAACUUUAUUCUGAUUUAACUAAUUUGAUCCAAAUCAAUUCCUUUACCCGACUCGUGUUUUGUUACUUCUCUUGUUUCAAUCCCCAAUUUUGAAAAUUAGGGUUCAUAUCUGGAAAAUAGGAUCGAUUUCAAACAAAGAGAGAAAGAGAGAUGGAAUUGGGUGGAGGAUCCAACAACAGGAGACGGGGCAAGGCAAUUGCAGGCAGUGUGCUUUGUUUUUGUGGACUACCGGCCAAGAUAGCUCAAGCUUGGACCGAAAUUGUAUCACUGUUAUCAAUAAAAUACCAUUAGAACAUGGUAAAGACAUCGAUUGAUUCCAAUCAUCGAAGUAAACAAGCAAGGGUUCACAUGUUCUUACCUCAUCGUCGCCCUCCUUCUUUUAGCUCAUUCGGAUUCGAUUUCACAAAACCCAGUUAGAAUCCCUCUCUCUGACUCCGAAAUCUCUCUCAAUCUCUAUCUUCUUCGAAAUCUCCUAAUUUUUUCGGGUUGGAACCCUAAGGAAAUCGAUUUGGGGGGAAAGGAAUUGACUUGGGUCGGGUUAACGUAUGGAGCUGGGUCGGGUUUUGCCUUAAUCGGAAUAAAGUUUCUUAAUUACGAAUUGACCCCAAAAUGUUUCAUUAAAAUCAGUUAAAACCAAUUGGGAUGUUGGCAUCAUAUUUUUAUUUACUUCAUACAUGUGGUAUGUAUUAUCAUAUACUUCGUGUAGUUAUAGACACAUUUUCAUACUCUAGAUGGUUUUCACCAUAUUAUAGUAAACAUCGUGUAGCUGGAAUGGGCCCAUUUCUCGGCCCAUUCCAUAUUUUUAGGUGAAGUUGCAAACCUUUCUUUUGCUUUCUGAGAAAUAAGAUAUUGCAAAACAAAUGUAUAUAAAUGAAACCUAAAGUACUCUAAAUAAGAAUUUCACUAACUUUAAAUUGAUUUUGAAAACUCAUAAAAAAACUAAUAUGAUGGUAUUAGGUUCAACAACACAUGGUACCUCAAUCCGAACUAGAAUUAAGUUGAUUUGAAGUCGCAAACCAGCAGCCCGAUUUUAUAUUAUAAUAUUGUGUUAUGUUAGGAAGUUCAUAUCUAAAUUGACAUGAAAGCUAAGACAAUAUAAAGGACAUGUCUAGAAGAUUUAUAAGUUUUUUUUAGUUGUUCAGGUGUUGUGAAAUAUUGGAGCAUUGAACAACAAUCUAUAACUACUUGGACAUCCAUUUUGUUUUUAAGAGAACCAUUAUAACAAGUCAAGAAGGCAAUAAAUACUUUUCGACGUUUUAUAAAUGGAAGAACUAUGCAAUGCAUUUAGAUUGUUCAGUGGUGAACAUAUGUUCACCGACGUUCUUCGUUCUCAACCACAAUAUCAGUCAUCAAAUCUUUGAUCUCUCAGCUAAAGUAAUGCUUUCAAUUCUUACACGUGUGAGCUAGGCAAACCCUACUCAUUUCCAUAACUUAAUCAAUAAGCGAAAACAACACAAUACUUGUAAAGAAGACAAAUAUUAUUUAUAAGUUCGCAUUAUUUUGUUUGGAUAGUCUGAUGUGGAACAAGUGAAUGAUAUAAAGCAUCAUCAAACGUCGGUCGAUUGGUGAGAGAAACUGGUGUGAAACUGAAAAGCCGGUUCGACUUUUGGAUAGCGAGAUUCAACCUGCGCCACACGGAUAAAAGCAUCACUAAAAACGAAAUAAUGAUUCAGAUGAAAAAGGCAAGUGAUAAGGGACAGAGUAAAAAGGUCGAUCGGGUAGUGUAGAGAGAGAGAGAGAUAGCAUCCACUGGUGUGGACCGUUAACCGUGUGGUGGCCAAUUCUGGUCGGUGAAUUGUUACUUUUUUUUAUAUAUAUAGUGAUGUUAAAUAUAU